GAUUCGCUCACCUUGGCCUCCCAAAGUGCUGGGAUUACAGGCGUGAGCCACCGCGCCCAGACAAUAUUGCCAUUUUUGACCCUCAGAGACGCCAAAGUUGAUGCUGGCUUUUUCCGCCUUACGUUCUGAUUUACCCUCAUCUGUAGAUGGAGAGAUUUUAUUUGUUCCCUCAAGUUAACUUUAUAAAAUUUGCUUUACUUUUUUUAUUGCAUUUUGUACUACUAUCCUUUAAAACAGCCUUUUCUUUAAAAUAAAAAAGAAAAUUUAAAUAGUUUAAUUUUCUGCACAUUUGUAAUUUUUUUUAAACUUACAAAUGUUACCACCGAUGACUCUAGCUGUACAAUGCUAUCAUCCAAAUUUAUCAAGUAAGAAAUUUAUUUUUUUUUUCCUGUAUGGUUUAAAGUUUUAGCUUGAGGGUCUCUGUAAAGAGAUGGCCAAGUUUAUUUAGAAAGAAUGCACUUUUUAUAUAUAUCUUUUUCUUUGAAAUGGCUUAAAAUGACCUGCCAUCUUUAUUAAAAUGUUUAAGAAAUUUUUAAAAAUUGAAUUUUGAGGUUUGAUUUCUUUAGUAGGUCCAAACUGAACUAAAUGUUCUCUAAAUUUUCUAGGAGCUUACAGAAUCUAUGAUAAUUCUGCCUUGAAGCAUUUAGCUUUCAGUUUAACUUCUCCUCCCCAGUUGGAGAUCCUCACUCUGAUUUUUCAACUGACAUAUAUUCUCAGAUUAAAAAGAAACCAGAAUUGUCAUUAUAAAGGGUUUACUUCCUCUCGUUGAAAAGAACACUAACAUACAACUUCAGUGAGUUAUGGACAGAAACAUUAAUACUUUAAGUUGCCUUAUUACAAAGUUAUGAUCAUAUUAAAAAUAGAAUUUAAAUUAGUUAGAAGGACAGGUAGUUUUACUCCCAUUUUGGCAUGGGGAGAAACUAAAAAUGUUGUGUCAAACAUGAAGAUUAUUCAGUUGCCCUGAAUGAAAAGUCAUGAACAAAAAGUUUGAAAUAUUUUAUUAAAAUCAUGCUACAGCAGUUUCCUAUUUUUUUCUUAGGAAAUGAAUACGUAAUUAUUGUUUUGCAAGAGCUUGAAUAUAUUUCAAAGACUGAAUGAGUCAUCUACAAUACUGUGCUUAUUAGAAAUUUAUUGAAUGUAACCUUUUGCACUUUGUAAUAUGUUUCUGAAAACUAAUCUCUCUGUAAGACCAAAUUGAAUCUCAUUUUUUGGUUUGAGUUCUGGCAGAUAGUUAGCAAAGUAAGAACUGUAAGUCAAUAGUCAUUCAACAUAGGAGAAAAGGAUUAAAUUUCCUAUACUUUCUCUUUCUUUAAGCCAGUAGCUCUUGAAUUGAUGUUCAACCAUUAUAUGUCAAAUAUCUGGACUUUUUGGUGGCUACAAUAAUGCUGGAAAUAUUUAAUAUGAAUCUCUUAAAAUGUACACCAUGUGAAUAAGUCCAGCUAAUAAUAAGGCCUGUUAUUCCUUAGUUAUCAAAAGACUAUUGCAGAGAGAGGUCUCUGCUGUGCUUUUUAAAAAGCAGACCUAAAUAUUGUAAUAAGUGAGUUAUGACUAUAAAUUUCUGUUACCUAUAUAUUAAUAUAAACAGUCAAACACAUUUCUGAUAUAGACAUGCCUAUAUGCCUGCAAAAGAUUAAGAAAAACAAUUAUUUUAGUAGAAAUAAUUUACCAAACAGGGUUGUAAUAGUUCUGUUAAAUUUGGCCAGAACACUGCUCAUUCAUUUUCAUGGUAAUCACUUAGCUAUAUGUAUGUAAGUGAGAGAAAUAUAUUAGUUAUCUCUUAGAUUAGAAGUAAUAUGACAGAUACUAUAAAAUUGAAUGUUUUCCAUGGGUCUAGCCCUGAGCUAAGCAUUUAACAUAUAUUAACUUAUUUAAUCUUAACAAGAAAUCUAUAAGGUAGGUUCACACAGUUUUGUGAAUGAAGAAAUAAAGAUUUAGAGAAUUCAAGGUGCCACACAGCUAGAAUCAAACCCAUGUCUGUCCCAUUCUAAAGACCAUGUUGUCACAUCAUUGUGUGAUAUUGCCACCUUGAAUAAAAGCUACGUGACAACUAUGAAAGUGAAUAAACAGUGUUCUAGCCAACUUUAACAGAACUACUAUAACCUUGUUCAGUAAAUCAUUUCUUUUAGAAUGGUCUGUGAAUUGGAAAUAUUAGCAGUAGCUGGGCACAAUUAAUUACAAAUGAGUUAUUGCACCAUAAUCACUUAGAAUGGUACAUACAAUACAAACUGGGUUACCAGCUACUAGAGAUCAAUGGUCAGGGAGUGAAUGUGUAUACAGUUGACCCUUGAGUCACAAAGGUAUGAACUACGUGGAUCCACUUAUAUGUGCAUUUUUUCUGCCUCUGCCACCCCUGAGAUAGCAAGACUAACCCCCGCUUUUCCUUGUUCUCCUCAGCCUACUCAACAUGAAGACAAUGAGAAUAAAGACCUUUAUGAUGAUUCACUUCCAUUGAAUGAACAGGAGACAUAUUUUCUCUUCCCUAUGAUUUCCUUGGUAAUAUUGGCUUUUCUCUAGCUUGUUUUAAGAAUAUGGUAUAAAAUAAUAAUCACAUACAAAAUAAAUGUUAAUUGACUAUGUUGUCAGUAAGGGUUAUGGUCAACAAUAGGCUAUUGGUAGACAAGUUUUUGGGUAGUCAAAGCUUAUACAGAAAUUUUUGACUGCAUAGGGGCAGCCGUGCCCCAACUUCCACAUUGUUCAAGAGUCAAGUGUAUAUUUAAAAUCCUCCCUUAAGUGAUUUGAAGCCGGAACUUGUCUUUAAAUGGUCAGAUGGAAAAGAAAGGAUUCUGUCUAGUAAAUAAAAUGAUUAAUUGAAGAUACCCACAGAUACACACUUGCUUUUUUGCUAGACUGCCUUAAGAAUAAACUUCAGUAUAAAAUAUAAGCUCAAAGGAGAAUUAGUACUGCUACAUAACAUAGAAGCAUAGUUAUUAGAAUAUAUUUUCCUUCACUGAACACAUACACACACACACACACACAUAUACAUACACACAAACACACCCACAUGCACUCACAUAUUAAUGAUGGGGAUUUAUACAGACUCGGAGAGAGUUUCAAAAUCAGGUCUUUUUUAUCUGUCUUACUUGUGGAGAAUAAAGAGUGGCAUGCUAUUCAGUAGAUAUUUGCUAGUUUAAGAAAAGAACUAAUAAACUGGAUGGCAAAAAGGUUGAGAGGGGUUGGGAAGAAAAAGUUCUUCAAUGCUCAUGAGAUGAGAAAGGUUAAGAAGACAAAAGAAAGUUAUUUUUCUUUAUAGCUCCUAUCAGACAGUUAUGAUCUUUUAAAAUGCAAAAGAAAUACUCAGCCUUAUAUGGGCAUGAGUGUUAACAAACA
This is a long non-coding RNA of Cercocebus atys (sooty mangabey), 3327 nucleotides long. RefSeq lists it as uncharacterized. The record is from RefSeq and is a predicted model, not a curated record. NCBI's taxonomy places the organism in Eukaryota, Metazoa, Chordata, Mammalia, Primates, Cercopithecidae. The transcript has 2 exons.